GACGAACGCUGGCGGCGUGCUUAACACAUGCAAGUCGUACGGUAAGGCCCUUUCGGGGGUACACGAGUGGCGAACGGGUGCGUAACACGUGAGUAACCUGCCCACAACUUUGGGAUAACGCUAGGAAACUGGUGCUAAUACUGGAUAUGUGCCCCUGCUGCAUGGUGGGGGUUGGAAAGCUCCGGCGGUUGUGGAUGGACUCGCGGCCUAUCAGCUUGUUGGUGGGGUAGUGGCCUACCAAGGCGGUGACGGGUAGCCGGCCUGAGAGGGUGACCGGCCACAUUGGGACUGAGAUACGGCCCAGACUCCUACGGGAGGCAGCAGUGGGGAAUAUUGCACAAUGGGCGCAAGCCUGAUGCAGCAACGCCGCGUGCAGGAUGACGGCCUUCGGGUUGUAAACCGCUUUCAGCAGGGACGAAGCUUUUUGUGACGGUACCUGCAGAAGAAGCACCGGCUAACUACGUG
This 465-nucleotide ribosomal RNA is filed under the name uncultured bacterium. Its description in RNAcentral is "partial 16S ribosomal RNA". It matches the Rfam family "Bacterial small subunit ribosomal RNA", at positions 28 to 507 of the family's 1533-position model. The record is from RNAcentral.